CCGAGAUCUACACGUAAGGAGUCGUCGGCAGCGUCAGAUGUGUAUAAGAGACAGGCCCAGAUCGUCAGCUAAGGUCCCUAAAUGUAAGUUAAGUGGUAAAGGAUGUGGGAUUGCACAGACAACCAGGAUGUUGGCUUAGAAGCAGCCACUCAUUCAAAGAGUGCGUAAUAGCUCACUGGUCGAGUGAUCCUGCGCCGAAGAUUUCCGGGGCUAAAACUUACUACCGAAGCUACGGCAUCAGUAAUGAUGGGUAGGGGAGCUUCCCAUACGGGUUGAAGCAUGACCGUAAGGACAUGUGGACAGUAUGGGAGUGAGAAUGUUGGCAUGAGUAGCGAGAUGUGGGUGAGAAUCCCACAGGCCGUAAACCCAAGGUUUCCAGGGGAAGGUUCGUCCGCCCUGGGUUAGUCGGGACCUAAGCUGAGGCCGAAAGGCGUAGGUGAUGGACAACAGGUUGAUAUUCCUGUACUACCGAUAACCGUUUGAGAGAAGGGAUGACACAGUAGGAUAAGCUAAGCACACUGUUGGUUAUGUGUGCCCAAGCAUUGAGGCAGUCAAAGUAGGCAAAUCCGCUUUGAUAAUGCUGGGAUGUGAUGGGGAGCGAAAUUUAGUAGCGAAGUAGCUGAUUUCACACUGUCAAGAAAAGUCUCUAUCGAGGUUAAAGGUACCCGUACCGCAAACCGACACAGGUGGGUGAGGAGAGUAUCCUAAGGCCAGCGAGAGAACUGUUGUUAAGGAACUCGGCAAAAUGACCCCGUAACUUAGGGAUAAGGGGUGCCACCAUCAGGUGGCCGCAGAGAAUAGGCCCAAGCGACUGUUUACCAAAAACAUAGGUUUCUGCUAAGUCGCAAGACGAUGUAUAGGAGCUGACGCCUGCCCGGUGCUGGAAGGUUAAGGGGAUCUGUUAGAGCAAUCGAAGCAGUGAACUUAAGCCCCAGUAAACGGCGGCCGUAACUAUAACGGUCCUAAGGUAGCGAAAUUCCUUGUCGGGUAAGUUCCGACCCGCACGAAAGGCGUAACGAUUUGGGCACUGUCUCAACAACAGACUCGGUGAAAUUGUAAUUCCGGUGAAGAUGCCGGAUACCUGCGACAGGACGGAAAGACCCCAUGGAGCUUUACUGUAGCUUGACAUUGGGUCUUGGUACUACAUGUACAGGAUAGGUGGGAGGCUUUGAAACCAGGACGCCAGUUUUGGCGGAGCCAUCCUUGGGAUACCACCCUUGUAGUACUGGGACUCUAACCAUAGGCCAUGAAUCUGGUCUUGGGACACUGUCAGGUGGGCAGUUUGACUGGGGCGGUCGCCUCCCAAAAGGUAACGGAGGCGCUCAAAGGUUCUCUCAGUACGGUCGGAAAUCGUACGUAGAGUGUAAAGGCAAAAGAGAGCUUGAUUGCAAGACAUACAGGUCGAGCAAGGAUGAAAAUCGGACUUAGUGAUCCGGUGGUUCUGCGUGGAAGGGCCAUCGCUCAACGGAUAAAAGCUACCCUGGGGAUAACAGGCUUAUCUCCCCCAAGAGUCCACAUCGACGGGGAGGUUUGGCACCUCGAUGUCGGCUCAUCACAUCCUGGGGCUGUAGUAGGUCCCAAGGGUUGGGCUGUUCGCCCAUUAAAGUGGUACGCGAGCUGGGUUCAGAACGUCGUGAGACAGUUCGGUCCCUAUCCGUCGCAGGCGUAGGAAAUUUGAGAAGACCUGUCCUUAGUACGAGAGGACCGGGAUGGACGUACCUCUGGUGUACCAGUUG
RNAcentral lists this ribosomal RNA (1736 nucleotides) under Clostridioides difficile. Its description in RNAcentral is "bacterial LSU rRNA". It matches the Rfam family "Bacterial large subunit ribosomal RNA", at positions 963 to 2723 of the family's 2925-position model. The record is from RNAcentral. Lineage: Bacteria; Bacillati; Bacillota; Clostridia; Peptostreptococcales; Peptostreptococcaceae.